This 468-nucleotide ribosomal RNA is filed under the name uncultured bacterium. RNAcentral's name for it is "partial 16S ribosomal RNA". It matches the Rfam family "Bacterial small subunit ribosomal RNA", at positions 28 to 507 of the family's 1533-position model. The record is from RNAcentral.
GACGAACGCUGGCGGCGUGCUUAACACAUGCAAGUCGAACGGAAAGGCCCUGCUUUUGUGGGGUGCUCGAGUGGCGAACGGGUGAGUAACACGAGAGUAACCUGCCCUUGACUUUGGGAUAACUUCAGGAAACUGGGGCUAAUACCGGACAGGAGCUCCUGCUGCAUGGUGGGGGUUGGAAAGUUUCGGCGGUUGGGGAUGGACUCGCGGCUUAUCAGCUUGUUGGUGGGGUAGUGGCUUACCAAGGCUUUGACGGGUAGCCGGCCUGAGAGGGUGACCGGCCACAUUGGGACUGAGAUACGGCCCAGACUCCUACGGGAGGCAGCAGUGGGGAAUAUUGCACAAUGGGCGGAAGCCUGAUGCAGCGACGCCGCGUGCGGGAUGACGGCCUUCGGGUUGUAAACCGCUUUCGCCUGUGACGAAGCGUGAGUGACGGUAAUGGGUGAAGAAGCACCGGCUAACUACGUG